ACCUACGGGGCGCAGCAGUGGGGAAUAUUGCACAAUGGGCGAAAGCCUGAUGCAGCAACGCCGCGUGAAGGAAGAAGGGUUUCGGCUCGUAAACUUCUAUUAACAGGGACGAAAGAAAUGACGGUACCUGAGUAAGAAGCACCGGCUAAAUACGUGCCAGCAGCCGCGGGAAUACGUAUGGUGCAAGCGUUAUCCGGAUUUACUGGGUGUAAAGGGGGCGCAGACGGCGAUGCAAGCCAGGAGUGAAAGCCCGG
Molecule: ribosomal RNA, 254 nt
Filed under: uncultured bacterium
Lineage: Bacteria
Description: partial 16S ribosomal RNA
Rfam family: Bacterial small subunit ribosomal RNA
Source: RNAcentral